UACGGGGGGGGUAAGCGUUGUUCGGAAUUACUGGGCGUAAAGGGCUCGUAGGUGGCCAACUAAGUCAGACGUGAAAUCCCUCGGCUUAACCGGGGAACUGCGUCUGAUACUGGAUGGCUUGAGUUUGGGAGAGGGAUGCGGAAUUCCAGGUGUAGCGGUGAAAUGCGUAGAUAUCUGGAGGAACACCGGUGGCGAAGGCGGCAUCCUGGACCAACACUGACACUGAGGAGCGAAAGCCAGGGGAGCAAACGGG
This 253-nucleotide ribosomal RNA is filed under the name uncultured bacterium. Its description in RNAcentral is "partial 16S ribosomal RNA". It matches the Rfam family "Bacterial small subunit ribosomal RNA", at positions 524 to 776 of the family's 1533-position model. The record is from RNAcentral.